UACGAAGGGGGCUAGCGUUGUUCGGAAUUACUGGGCGUAAAGCGCGCGCAGGCGGCUAUCCAAGUCAGUGGUGAAAGCCCGGAGCUCAACUCCGGAACUGCCAUUGAAACUGUUUAGCUUGAGGAUGAGAGAGGUGAGUGGAAUUCCCAGUGUAGAGGUGAAAUGCGCAGAUAUCGAGAAGAACACCCGUGGCGAAGGCGGCUCUCUGGGACGGUACUGACGCUGAGACGCGAAAGCGUGGGGAGCGAACAGG
Molecule: ribosomal RNA, 253 nt
Filed under: uncultured bacterium
Lineage: Bacteria
Description: partial 16S ribosomal RNA
Rfam family: Bacterial small subunit ribosomal RNA
Source: RNAcentral